Molecule: ribosomal RNA, 467 nt
Filed under: uncultured bacterium
Lineage: Bacteria
Description: partial 16S ribosomal RNA
Rfam family: Bacterial small subunit ribosomal RNA
Source: RNAcentral
GACGAACGCUGGCGGCGUGCUUAACACAUGCAAGUCGAACGGAAAGGCCUCUUUCGGGGGGUACUCGAGUGGCGAACGGGUGAGUAACACGUGAGUAACCUGCCCUUGACUUUGGGAUAACUUCAGGAAACUGGGGCUAAUACAGGAUAGGAGCUCCUGCUGCAUGGUGGGGGUUGGAAAGUUUCGGCGGUUGGGGAUGGACUCGCGGCUUAUCAGCUUGUUGGUGGGGUAGUGGCUUACCAAGGCUUUGACGGGUAGCCGGCCUGAGAGGGUGACCGGCCACAUUGGGACUGAGAUACGGCCCAGACUCCUACGGGAGGCAGCAGUGGGGAAUAUUGCACAAUGGGUGGAAGCCUGAUGCAGCAACGCCGUGUGCGGGAUGACGGCCUUCGGGUUGGAAACCGCUUUCGCUCAUGACGAAGCUUUGUGUGACGGUAGUGGGUAAAGAAGCACCGGCUAACUACGUG